Long non-coding RNA from Anarrhichthys ocellatus (wolf-eel), 326 nucleotides. RefSeq lists it as uncharacterized. The transcript has 3 exons. NCBI's taxonomy places the organism in Eukaryota, Metazoa, Chordata, Actinopteri, Perciformes, Anarhichadidae. The record is from RefSeq and is a predicted model, not a curated record.
UAUACAAGUCCUCUUGUAAUAAGUUGUUCUUGCUCGUGCAGACUGCCUGCACUCUGUAUGAUCAUUGAGCCUUCUCUGCGCAGAGAAAAUUCUUUGUUUCAGCACCUUUAAAAGAUUCGCGGUUUAGCGGGUAUAAUAAUUUCCACCACACUGGUCACUGUGUUGCUGAUGAAAGUUUUUUCUGCCGCAAGGACUAAGGAAGAACAAAGAACUGUUCCAACUUUUUACCCUAUCUAAAGACAAACAAGCGUUACAAGAAGUUUAUAAACCAGCAUAUUAUCAACAAGAUGAGUGAAAACAGAUGUGACCAGGUGAUAGGAGAACGU